Molecule: unclassified non-coding RNA, 22 nt
Filed under: Mus musculus (house mouse)
Lineage: Eukaryota; Metazoa; Chordata; Mammalia; Rodentia; Muridae
Description: oocyte_clustered_small_RNA1636
Source: RNAcentral
UAACUUGAGCUUUGCAUUAGCC